RNAcentral lists this ribosomal RNA (253 nucleotides) under uncultured bacterium. RNAcentral's name for it is "partial 16S ribosomal RNA". It matches the Rfam family "Bacterial small subunit ribosomal RNA", at positions 524 to 776 of the family's 1533-position model. The record is from RNAcentral.
UACAGAGGUGGCAAGCGUUGUUCGGAUUUACUGGGCGUAAAGGGUGCGUAGGCGGCUCCGCAUGUCGGAUGUGAAAUCCCACGGAUCAUCUGUGGAACGGCAUUCGAAACUGCGGGGCUAGAGUGCGGGAGAGGAAGGUGGAAUUCUUGGUGUAGCGGUGAAAUGCGUUGAUAUCAAGAGGAACGCCGGUGGUGAAGACGACCUUCUGGAACGCAACUGACGCUGAGGCACGAAAGCUAGGGGAGCAAACAGG